AGCAGCGUGGCUCAGUGGAAAGAGCCCGGGCUUGGGAGUCGGGAGUCAUGGGUUCGAAUCCCGGCUCUGCCG
Molecule: transfer RNA, 72 nt
Filed under: Ornithorhynchus anatinus (platypus)
Lineage: Eukaryota; Metazoa; Chordata; Mammalia; Monotremata; Ornithorhynchidae
Rfam family: tRNA
About the family: Transfer RNA (tRNA) molecules are approximately 80 nucleotides in length.
Source: Rfam by way of RNAcentral